UACGUAGAAGACUAGUGUUAUUCAUCUUUAGUAGGUUUAAAGGGUACCUAGACGGUAUGAUUAGCCCACAACAGGGUACAAUCUUGCUAGAGUUUUAUAUGAGAAGGGGAGUAUUUAUAGAGUAGAGAUGAAAUUCUUUGAUACUAUGACGACUGGUAGCGGCGAAAGCAACCUUUUAUCUAAUAACUGACGUUGAGGGACGAAGGCCCGGGUAGCAAACAGG
Molecule: ribosomal RNA, 223 nt
Filed under: uncultured Leotiomycetes
Lineage: Eukaryota; Fungi; Ascomycota; Leotiomycetes
Description: partial small subunit ribosomal RNA
Rfam family: Bacterial small subunit ribosomal RNA
Source: RNAcentral